UAACGCGUGGAUAACCUGCCAUAUACCGGGGGAUAACACUUAGAAAUAGGUGCUAAUACCGCAUAAGCGCACGGCUCCGCAUGGGGCAGUGUGAAAAACUCCGGUGGUAUACGAUGGAUCCGCGUCUGAUUAGCUAGUUGGCGGGGUAACGGCCCACCAAGGCAGCGAUCAGUAGCCGGCCUGAGAGGGUGGACGGCCACAUUGGGACUGAGACACGGCCCAAACUCCUACGGGAGGCAGCAGUGGGGAAUAUUGCACAAUGGGGGAAACCCUGAUACAGCGACGCCGCGUGAGUGAAGAAGUAUCUCGGUACGUAAAGCUCUAUCAGCAGGGAAGAAAAUGACGGUACCUGACUAAGAAGCCCCGGCUAACUACGUGCCAGCAGCCGCGGUAAUACGUAGGGGGCAAGCGUUAUCCGGAUUUACUGGGUGUAAAGGGAGCGUAGACGGCAGCACAAGUCUGGAGUGAAAUCCCGGGGCUUAACCCCGGAACUGCUUUGGAAACUGUGCGGCUGGAGUGCAGGAGGGGUAAGCGGAAUUCCUAGUGUAGCGGUGAAAUGCGUAGAUAUUAGGAGGAACACCGGUGGCGAAGGCGGCUUACUGGACUGUAACUGACGUUGAGGCUCGAAAGCGUGGGGAGCAAACAGGAUUAGAUACCCUGGUAGUCCACGCCGUAAACGAUGAUUACUAGGUGU
Molecule: ribosomal RNA, 694 nt
Filed under: uncultured bacterium
Lineage: Bacteria
Description: bacterial SSU rRNA
Rfam family: Bacterial small subunit ribosomal RNA
Source: RNAcentral